CGAGCACCCUUCAAUGGGCCUGGUGGGUCGUGAUGGUGAGUCCCUGCUCACCCAUGGAUCCGAGUGGAGAGCUAGGGGCCUGACUGGGGGCGUCAGUCCCUGGGCAGAUGGGUACCACUCUGCGCUCUGAAGCCAUGUCAAGGAGCUGUGAGCAGAAGCUGGGAAAGGAGCCGACUUUCCCCUCUGUGCGCACCCCUUCUGCACAUCUCAUUGUCUCCUGGCAGGAAAUACUUAGAUGAGGCGGAAGUCCAUAGCAACACUUUUCUUUAGCACGUUCGACCCUGAGGACGCAUACUGAACUUAGAGACUCAAAAGCCAGGAUCCACAGGUUGGGGUGGCACCCUGG
RNAcentral lists this long non-coding RNA (346 nucleotides) under Bos taurus (domestic cattle). RNAcentral's name for it is "long non-coding RNA NONBTAT016731". The record is from RNAcentral. Lineage: Eukaryota; Metazoa; Chordata; Mammalia; Artiodactyla; Bovidae.